Long non-coding RNA from Culex pipiens pallens (northern house mosquito), 482 nucleotides. RefSeq lists it as uncharacterized. NCBI's taxonomy places the organism in Eukaryota, Metazoa, Arthropoda, Insecta, Diptera, Culicidae. The transcript is spliced from 2 exons. The record is from RefSeq and is a predicted model, not a curated record.
UAAUUUUGACCAAUUUCGUCAGGGUCAUUAUUUUGGCCAUGAAAUGGGGUCCUUAAGCUAAAAUUAUUCUAAAAAGUUGAAAUUUUGAAAGUUGAUUUUUUUAAUUAUUUGAUAUACCCCCUAAGGGAUUUUACUAAAAUUGGCUAGAACUAUGAAAUAAUUUUGACCAAUUUCAUCGGGGUCAUUAUUUCACCAUGAAAUGGGAAUUGAUUUAUUUAUUGAGAAUUUUUGAAGUGUGAAUAACAAAAACUGUUAUUAUUUUCACAGAGCCAGGAAGUCGGAGCUGACGUUGAAGUUCGAGCUGGAGUGUGACCUCGGAGACUGCAUCGGAUUCAUCUAAUUUUCAGCAACUUUUACUUGGAGUCGGAAUCUGUGAAGUCGGGUAUUUUUGGAGAGCUAAAGUCGUCGUUGACGUCAUAUCCUGCAUCCAGUGUCGGAGUUGUCUUCAAAGUAUGGAUUCAAAGUCGCUUGGAGGUACCCGA